This 26789-nucleotide long non-coding RNA is filed under the name Prunus persica (peach). Its description in RNAcentral is "long non-coding RNA (PPER_LNC006752)". Lineage: Eukaryota; Viridiplantae; Streptophyta; Magnoliopsida; Rosales; Rosaceae. The record is from RNAcentral.
CCAUUUUGAGUACCCUUGAAAAUUGCGUUUCUAACCGUCACAUUUUGAACUCCUUCCUCUUCCAGGUCUUUGGCCAAACUCCCUAUGCUGCAAUCACCACACCCAUGCAUGCAUAAGCCAAUGCUAAUGCCAACUAUUUUUUCAUAGAAGAGAUUUGGGGAUGGGAUUUUCUCACACGCAUACAUUGUUAAUGUGCCACGGAGUUUGAACUUGAGAGCAUUGGUCUGCAAGUCAAGGCCCUUUCCACGGGGCUAGACCACAAUGGCAAUGCUAAUACUAACAAUAAUUAAGGGGUUUAAUUGCAACCUUAAUAUAUAUAGCUAUGCAAAGCAAGAGCUAAAAUCUAACCUAAUGCCAUGGCCAGGUCCACAUGAUAUUUGUUCGACCCACAAGUCCUUCAUGCCAGGGCCAAUAGAGACGCAAUCAUCACCAGUUUUGAUGGAUGUGUUGAAAAUUGCAACAUUUCUUGACAAUUGGACAUGGAUGCCAUCAGUGUUUGGGCUAUUGCCAGCCGCAUUGACUUUGACUCCUCGAAUGUAAACAUCUUGGCAACCGUUUACCACAAUGUGGAACAUUUGGCUGUUCAACGACGUUAGUCCAUUGAUGCUAAUGUUUUUGGAGUUUGUAAAUCUCAGACUCUGCAUUGGAAGAAACUUAAAAGAAAUGAGAAAGAGAACAUGAUGAAUAUACUUGUAGGGUAACUUAGACCACAAGCUUACACAAGCAUUAUCAUUGCAAGAAAAAGAUAAAUUACUAAUUGUUGCUAUGUUGGUUCACAAUAACAAAUGAAAAGAAGAAGCAAAUUACUGACCGUGGCUCCGUUGGGACAGCCAGUGCUUGCAGCUAACUUGCAAGCCCACAAGGCAGUACCUUUGGCAUCAAGUGUGCCUCCAACGAUGGAAACACCGGUAACUCGUUCGAAGCUGAGCCAGUUGUUAGCUUGGCCUAGAAUACGGUAAUCAGAUGAAGCAAUCAACGUUCCGUCGAUCUGGAAAGUAAUAUCUAGGGUUUUGCAUUUGUCACCUCUAAACUUGAUAGCAGAGGGAAGCAAAUACCUCCCUUUUGGUACACUUAUGGUAGUGGAAUCGUUAGAGGCACAAGCUGCAGACCAUGCAUCAACAAAAGCUUGGGUGGAAUCCGUUGCACCAUUAGGCUUAGCUCCAAAACUUAGGACAUUGUAAAUGAAUGCACUCUCAACAACCAAUGAUUGUAGAAUCAUCAAUACUACAACUCUGUAAAGACAAUUUGUAACAUUCACCAUUUUUCCUUCUCUUCUUCUUUUUUUUCUUUUUUUUUUUUCCUGUGUGAGAGGGAGUAAGAGAGAAAUUAAAAUACUGAUGUUUGAUGGAAAUGAAUGAAAAGUCAAAUUUUGGUGGAAGGAAUGAAGAGUGUUGGGGUAUUUAUAGUCUAUAUGGUACAUGCAUAUAUGCAAUAAUUAGCUAACUAGCUAGGUUGAUAUAUAAGGGAUGUUUGUAUUAUAUAUUUAUAUUUGUAUAGAGGAUGGUGUGGGUUCUAAGAAAUUAAUGUAUCAUAUAAAGAAAAGGGUGAUGAUUUUUCCACUCCUUUUUUGUCAACUUACACUUCCUUUUGUUUUCUAAUAGUUUUUAUUAUAACAAAAAAGAGAGUGUAAGUGGAUAAAAGAGGAGUGGGAACAUACAAUUUCAAACAAAAGGAGUGUAAGUAAAUAAAAGAGGAGUGGGAAAAUCAGCUCUCUAAGAAAACUGCGCCCCAAAUAAUUUGUCAUCCACUCUUUGGUACCCGUGCUUUAUAAAAUUUGAAUUUUCCCAUUCAAAUUCAUUUUUUCUUACCUACAGCCCAUCCUUUUAUUUUUCUAUAAAUUACACUUAAUUUUUAUAAGUAAAAUCCGGUUACAAGAAUCCACAUAAGCAAGUUACCUAAUCAAAUUUAACAUAUUAAAUGUUAUAUUUUUUGAAUUCCUAAAGUACCCCUAAUUGCAUUUUUAACCUUUUUUUUUUUCUAACAAAUUAUUUGCUAUUCAAUGUCAUAAUGGUGUUUCAAUUUUGCAUAAGUUUUGUGGGUCAGUUUUAUUUAUUUAUUUUAUAUAUAAUUAAAACUUGGUUGUAAUUAGUGUCGUAUGUUUUUGAAAUUGAUUGGUUCCAAAACCUAGUGGAAAUUUAGGGAUUAAAAAAAUAGAAACCACGUUCGAAUGCCUAGUAAAAAACAUUAUUGAAAUCCUGAACUUAAGGGAUUUUUUUAAGGAGAAAAAUGUUCAGCAACAAAGAAGGGUUGAUGGCAUGAUUUGUAAAUAUGUCAAAAUACAUGAACACUUUGGCAUCCAAUUAAAAAUUGAGUUUUAUUUAAAUGUAAUAAAAUAGGUGGGUUAUUGUCUAGAGUAUUUUAGUUGUAUGGGGCUAUUUUAGUCAGACCCAAUAUUAUUAAUAAAUUGGCAAAGGGUUUAUAUGUGAAGUGUAGUUUCGAUAUCAAUUGGUCACUGACUUGUUAAUGAAUCAAUUCAUCUCACAUGGAUGCACUAAUUUGUACUUAAAUUCCUUCAUGGCUACGAAGAUCAAGAUCAAGAUCAGAUCAUCAUUCCAAAGCUUGCUGUGCCUCAGCAAAAACUCAGAGCUACCAUGCAGAUGCAUGCACAUAGUGCAAUCAAUUAAGAAAGAUUAAAGAGGAAAGCUAAUUAAACUCUGAAAUAACUAAAGAAGAAACUGAUUACUCCCUGCCGUAACUCAUAAAAUUUUAUACAUCCAAUUUCCAUAAUUUUUGGACCUCAAAUUUCUGAGUUCAUCUCCAAAUUUUGCCAUAAUUUUCUGUAACCUUCCACACACAUUUUUGUCUAUCCGCCAAUAUAUAUAAGGGAAUGGGCGAACGUAACUUGUCCAUCCCUCGACUGAGAAAAUAGUAAAUUUGGCUUUUCCCCGCUGACUUACCGAAGAAGAUGCGUCCUCAACCUCAGUGGCUCCUCUUGGCACUAAUUGGCCUUCUCCUUCCUCUGAUGCUGGUGGCUGCUGUUACUUCGCCGCGGCCUCUUGCCGGCGGUUGGAAGCCCAUAGCCAAAGAGAACAUCAGCGACCCUCGUCUGAAGUUGAUGGCAGACUUCGCGGUGUCCAUGUACAACUUGCGAACCCAUAAGAAGUUGUUCGUUGUGAGAGUCGUCCGCGGCGACACUCAGAUCGUGGCGGGCCAGAACUAUCGGCUUGUCGUUUUGGCCAAGGAUGGACUAUCGUUGCCUAACUCCACCGCAGAUCAUGCCCAUUAUGAGCUUCGUGUCUAUGAGAAGCUUUGGGAGGAUCUUUGGAAAUUGGUCUCUUUUCGUCAACUCGAAAAUUAAACAAAAUUAAUAACGUAUUUGAUAUCUUUAAAUUCCUCCCUAGUUAUAAUAAAGACCCAUUGUAUUGAGGGAUAUAGUGAUUCUUCUGAAUAAUAUUAAAUUAAUGGUAAAUUUCCUACCCCGUCUUAUUUUUCCACUCACCUUAUUUUUUCAUAUGGAUCCCGAGCCUCUGCAUUUAGAAUCGGUGUAUUUAAACGCUUUUAAAAGAAUACAAACUAUUAGAUUAAUCUAAUGAUUUUAAUAAAUCCACGUCAGCAAACUCUGUGGUUUGUGCUUUUUGAGCUUAGUGUGGUUGUGAGGUUUGAUUGAUUUUUUGGUUUGAAUUGUUGUGGGAUUAGUUUGUAUGGGUGUGCUUGGUUGCUGAGAAAGUGAAGGGAAUUUAAAAUGAGAAUUACCGUUUUAUAAGAAAUUGAGUAUAAGAAUAAGAGGUGUUGAAUCGAUAGUUUGCUUAAGGCAACGGAGAAUGUUCUCUUUAUUCAAGUAGUUGUACAUAUUGCUUAUUUUUUGUUCAAGUCCUGGGGGCAAAGGCGAAUGUCCAUGUAUGAGAUAUGUUCAGAAAGUUGACUCUUUAUGUUUCCUCUUCUUGCAAUUUGAUCUUAGAUUAAAAGGUUUGGUCAUUAAUUGAUGUUGGUAUUGUUUAAUAGUUGGAAAGCAUAGUCUGAUGAUCCUGCUUUGCAAUUGAAGUUCAUUUCCUAUUCCUAUUAUCCGUGUGAUGUUCUUGACUUUUGUUUUUCGUUUUUAUGUACAACACAGCCCUCCAAUUGCCUAGGAGGGGUUUCGAACCCGAGACCACUCGUCUUAAGCCAAACAUACUUUCCCACUAUGGUAUGACCCCAUUAGCAAGUAUUCAACAUCACUUCGUCUUAAGCUAAUGAUUAUUAGCUGUACAAGAAGCAAAAACUUUGUGGAAUGAUUGGUAACUUGUAGAUCUUUCCGGUGAAAAAGAAGUAAAUUGCACAACUUUGUCAACAAGAGUUGAAACAUCACUUUCCUUCUAAGAUCUCCCCUAGACAUGUAUCAGCCAAAUGGUUACCCCCCCCCCCCCCCCAAAAGCUUAUUGACCAGAGAACUUCAAAUGCCUUUUUCCAGUGCAUAACCUGUCCUAAACAUAAAGUCUAAACACAAGCAAAGAAUCUACCAUCCUAUCUCCUUGGGAGAGACAAUCAACCAGUCUCUCAAAAGUUUCCCGCUUUGGUUUAAGCUUACUCUUUAACAUUUCUAUCUGGCUCUGUCUCGUUUGAUAGCAUCAAGCUAGCAUAAUAUUUUUCUUUUACUACUGCAAUAUUGCAUGAUACAUGUCCCUUUAGAAAAACUUGGGAUUUCCUGAAGUGACUGAUAACCAAAUAGCUAAAGUUAGAAAGAAAAAAAACAGACAAAAACCAGAGAGGGGAGAGAGAGAGAAGGGGCGGGCAAAAUAAGAACAAAGGAAGUUUCAAACUCUACUUAAACUUUCCAUCGAAGAGCACAAGAUUCGUCACUGCUCAAAUUUAAAGAGAGAACAAAAAAGAAAAUGAUAACUCAGAAUCAAUUCAAAUCUCAAGAGAUUUCAAGACUACAGGUAAGAAAAUUAUGCACUGACACCCAAAUUACAAUUUGCUCAUGGACCAAUUUUCCCUUGUAAGCCACAAACAAAGUUACACACAUGUUGGCACAGCAGGUUCAGUGGUAGGGCACUUUUACCCUAUACUGGGCUUAGAGUUCGACUCUCGUCAUACCUUCGUCAGAGUGAAGAACAAAAAUUACACAACUUUUGAUCAUCUUGUGCAGAAAAAAGGUUUCAUAUUUCAUUUUUUCAAAGUUGCACAGAAAAGGGUUGGAAUUUUUUGAAUCGACAACUUUUACUAGUACAAAUACAACUUGCUCAAUGCUUCUGUUUUGUAUGGCAUUUUGUUCCAUGCUCAGUGCCCUGUAGUCUUGUAUAAAUCCCGUCUUUUAUAGCACUUCUGUAACAGAUAGGAUUAGUUUUAUUUAGCGUUUUGCAAUUUUUUUUUGGGGGGUCAAAUCCCUAUCUUUUAUAGCACUCCUGGAAAAACGCUAUGCUGAAGUGCUAUUAAUAACAGACUGUUGUGGUGCAACUAAACAUCCAACACUAGGGCUUGGUUUGGGGUUACUGUGCUUAAAAAAUAAGCUGCUUUGAAAAGAAGUUUUGGAGAUUUGAGCCUUUGGUAAAACCAAUCCAAGCUGCUUAUUUUAAAAUCUGUUGUCAUCCACAGCCGAAAACACGAAGCAGCUCGCAACCUGCUGCUAAAAUCUGAUGCACAGAGAAGCAUGCAGAGGAAUUUAAUGAACCUUUCAAAUUGCCCAUAUUGCUCUUAUUUGUUUCAAACAAUUACAUGCUCUAUCCUCAUCAUCCCGAGUUCGAGCCUCCCAAAGUGUCGUUCCUCAUGGAUUUUCUAGAGUCGUUCUCUCUCUGCAACUUGCUCGCCUCAUCCUCUCUGCAAGUUGUUCGCCUUCCUCAUCCCUCAAAGCUACCAUCUCAACCCAAAACCCCACAAACCCAGCUCCCUAUUUUACAGACCCAGAAGAUCUUCUUGCGCUCCAACCAAAAUACCCCCAACCCUAGCUUCACACUUUGUCAUCUCCACAGCCACAAAAAAUCCAACACCCAUAUUCCCCACCAAGUAUCUCCACAAAAGAAAACCAAACCCCAAACAAAACACAACCCAAUAUUACAAUCCCACUAUUCACAUCCAUAUAGCAAAGAAAGAGAGGUGUGGAUGUAUCAUCGACCUCCCAAGCCUCAUUGCUGAGCCCAAAUGCCAACUCAAGGCCGCGGACAUCCCAAGGCCCCAGAUCUCGAUGAAAUUUAAGAGAUGGAGGGAUGGAGAGAAAGAGAGAAAGGUGUGAGAUGGAAAAGCUUACACUUUUGACCAAAAACUUUGAUAAAAAAGGACUUGCAGAGUUCGACCAAAAACAUAAAGGACUUGCAGAGAAGGGAGACGAAGAAGAAGGGAGAACGGUCUCUGUCCAACAAGAAAAAGAAAUGAGAAGAGAGAAAGGGAGGGAAAAAAAAUAAAGAAAAAAAAUGUAUUGAAAUUUCUUAACUUCUGAAAAAAUUAACAUAAAUAUAUAAUAUUUUUUGUUAACCCUUUUUUGUUAACCCUUUUGGUAAUUAAACACUUAGCUGCUUCACUUCACAGCUGUUUAUUUUCGCAACACAGCAGAAACAGUUUUUUGUUAAAGCACAGUAAUACCAAACUAGCCCUAACACUAGGGUUCCUCUCUUUGCCAAUCCAAUUCCUUAUGAGCCCCACCUGUACUUUAAGCACCACUCUACGCUCUUUUACUACCGUCUACAUUCAAAAUUUCAACUUAUAGGACUUCCUAGGCAGAACAUCCAGCAUAAGCAAUACGCCCAGCUAAGGCACUCUAGCACAGAAAAACAAUAGCAUCUGCACAAAAACUGAGCCUAGAAGAUCCACUACAAUGUCAAUGCACAUGGGAGGAUUGUCACUCGUUUUACAGAUAUGACAAUUGUGCUGACAUCCAAUUGUCACUCAAAACAAAAGCAAUGCUAUUUCAAGCCUCAAACCCUAAACACUACAACACAACAAAUAUAACUCAAAAUCACAACAAUUGUGGCGAAGAACAUUGCAAUUAUGGGUUAAGCCUACUAACGAAAGAUGCCCAAGACCUCUAGGAUGUGUAGCAUUAUCUGUAAAACUGGACUGCCCCGAAAAUGCAGACAAUUCAUGAUCAGUCCAGUGAUGAAACGAUAUCCAAGUAAAAAUCAAUUCCAACAAAUAAGAACCAAGCAAUGAUUGAUGCACAUAUAUAAGCAGAAAGUAAUUUCAUCGCAUAAAAACAAAGCCGAGAAAAUCUCUAGGUUUCCGUAGCAUUGUAAAUCCAAAAGAGGAUGCUAAAUAGUCUAAAACGACAUAAUAACCAUCAAAACGACAUUUAAACACAGAAAACAAGAAGACCUAAGUGUUGGUGGCCCUGGUGUAAAUCUGCUGGCUGGCAUGAGCAGAAACCAUCCUAAUCGCCCCUCUGGCCAUCAAGUCCCUUAUGGCCUUCCUCGCCAGCGAUCCAUUGAUCCUGAGACGGUCGGAGAGAAUGGAGGGUGUGAUGAGCUUAUACUUGGGGGCCUCAGCGAUGAGCUUGUCGUACGUGCCCUGGUCGAAGAGCACCAUGUUGUUGACCUUCUCCUUUUGCUUUCCUUUGCUCCACUUCUUCUUCUUCUGCUUGCCUCCUCCUGACUUCGCCGGCUUCGAAGACGGCGGCGGUGCCUUAUCCUUCUUCGGUGCCUGAAAUUAAAAACUCUAGAUUGGUAACAAACAUUUACACAAACAGAUGGCGAUCAAUCUGGAAGCGAAUAUUGUACGUACCAUUAGAUCGGAUUACAGCGACUCACAAAGAGAGGAGCGAGGGAGAGAGAGAGACGGGAGGGUUGGCGGCUGGAGGCAGUGCGAGUGAACGAGGAAGAUAUGUGAGGGGUAGAGAUUUAUUGACUUAGGGUUUCCUCGGGUUACAUAGUAACGACGUCGUUUCGGCUACCUAAAUUUGUUUAACUGGCCCAUUUCUGAAAGAUCCAGAUAUUUAGGCCCAUAACUCCAAUAAAAUGCAAUUUUUUUUUCGGGUCAGACAAUAAAUAAAAAAAUCCCAUUGUAAAAUAUAUGCAAUUGAAUAAUUAUCAAAAUCGUAAAUUCAAUUAUUCUAGGGCUCUUUUGAUUCUGCUCACAUCUCACAUGCUUGUGGCUUGGUCGUGAUUUCUAGGGCCUCAAGCUUAAUUGGAGGGGCAUUGAGCAUAUAUGAAGCUUUAGCAUGUCGUUCGUUAAGCUAAUUCUAUAGUUGAUGUGUUUGCUAGUUUUGGAUAGGGGUGGGCAUCAAUCCGACUGAACCAAUGAAAUUGGUCAAUCAAACCGUAGUUACUAGUUUAGGUUGAUUUUGACCAAGAAAAAGUCAAACGGUAUGGUUUGAUACUAAAAAUCCAUGAAGUAAUACGAUGAAAAUCCUCUGUGUUUCUCAAGCAAUAUCAAACCCAUAAAUUCCAUUUGAACCCAUGAAGCAAUACGAUGAUUCAACAAAACCCAGGAAGCAAAAUUGAAAAUUUUCACAAACCCAUCAGGGAAAAGCUCUGGAAUUAGAUAUUUAAAUAUGUGGUGAUGUUGAGUGGGUGUGUGAAUUCAGAGGAGAACGGAUUCCGGUUAGGAUGGGCAAGUCCGAUCAAUUGGCGGUUCCGGCAAAAAAUCAAGGAUAGGUGGUGGGGAGUGUAGGUGGGUGUGGGUUUUGGGUUCAAACAAACCCCUUUUAAAUGGAAGACAGAGAAAGAGGGAAGAGACAGAAAGGGAAGAGAGAGAGGGGUUUUGGGUUCGAACAAACCUAGGCCAUUUAAUUGUUCUUUAUUUAUUUUUUAAAAAUUUAAUAAUUGUUUAAACGGUGGAGUUUCAAUUUUGCCCCUGCACGCAUGAACCACGUGUGUCUUAACUGAUGACAUAGGUCAAUUGCACUUCAUUUGCUGAUGACGCUAACCCAUUAACCAAAAUAGGAAAAAUUGAAAUUUAGGUAACCAAAUUUAAAUUUGACCAUAACACCAGUGAUAAAAAAUGUAAUUACCCCUAAAAAAAAUUAGUAAGAACCAAAAAAAUCCAAUUGGCACAUGCGUGUGUCAUAAUAUGUAAUCCAAAGGGCUAAUGUUCAUAAUAUGUGAUGUUCGUACAUAAAUGUGGUCUCUUUAAUAAGCUACUUAUUUAUUUAUUGUUGUAAAAUUUUAGUUACUAUCUCACCAUUGCAAAUCAUAUUUGUUAUUUCAAUAUAAUGUUAGGGCUCAUUUGGAAGUAAUUCCUGAGAGGCCAAUAAUCACUUUUAUGGAGAAUCACUUCUCCAAAUAAUCACUUUAAUUGAUUAAGUGAUUAUGAAAAAUCACAUGAGAGGUGUUUCCGCAGAAUCACUUAAAAUUACUAAAAGUGAUUAUAUGAAGAAGCAUAUGGGCAAAAGUGAUUAUGGCCUAUCUAAAGUCACUCCCAAACGAGCCCUUAAUCAAUUUAUCAAAAGACUUCCCCUCUACAAUGUACAAUGAAUGCUUUGGUAGUGAGGACUAGGCCUAAAUUUACUAGAGUAUGGUAAAUUGCCUUAAAAUUUAUGCAUCCAAUUUCCACAAUUUUUGGACCUCAAAUUUCUGAGUUCAUCUCCAAAUUAUGCCAUAAUUUUAUGUAACCAAUUUUGUCCAUCCACCAAUAUAUAUAACGGAUUGGACCAAUGUAACUUGUCCAUUGCUCGACUGUAAAAUUAGUAAAUUUAGCUUUUCCCCAUGGACUUAUUGAAGAUGUGCCCUCAAUGGCUCCUCCUAGCAAUGAUUGGCCUUCUCCUUCCUCUGAUGCUGGUGGCGGCUGCUGCUCCGCCGCUGCCUCUUGCUGGCGGUUGGCAGCCCAUAGCCAAAGAGAACAUCAACGACCCUAGUCUCAAGUUGAUGGCAGACUUCGAGAUGUCCAUGUACAACAUAUGAUCCCACAAGAAGUUGAUUGUUGAGAGAGUCGUCUGUGGAGACACCAGAUCGUCGUGGGCCAGAACUAUCAGUUUGUCAUUGUUGGCAUGAAUCAUGUAUAAUUAUAGGAUUCCCAUAUUAGAUGGGAUUGUAAUUACUUUCCUUUUCAUUGUAUACUUGUACACAUAUAAAUACCCUCCUAGAGAGAAGAAUAAAUCACUCCAAAUUAUUCUACCCUAGUACGCAUAUUUUAACUUUGUAUCAGAGCCGCGAUCCUAGGAUUGCGACAGCUCUCUCACAACCCGACGACUACCACAUCGCUACAACCAUAGUGCAGCGCCUACCCAUGUAAGUUUGAAUAGAUAUAACAUGAAAUACACUAACCUGUUUCAGACAUGAUGAACAAGAUGAAACUGAACUGAACUUGAGAAAACCAGAGACUUUCUCCUAGAAGCCGAGAACUCUUUCAGCAGUAAUUCUAAUGGGGUGAAUAUCUGUAUGCUUGUUUUUGUGUGUAUCUCGGCUCUAGAAGGAGCCUCCUAUUUAUAUGCAUAUCUCUAUGAGUUUAGCCCAUCAAUGAACUCUUAGAGAUAACCUUAAUGCUUAUAGGAUAAGGUAAUCUUAAUCCUUAUCAAAGUAGGAAUCCUUAAGCCUGUUUAAUAUAUAUCUAGAACACUUAUAUUAGGCUGCCAUAUCAGAUAGGAAUAGACUUUCUGAUAAACCAUGAGUUCUUAGGAAUCCUUAUUCGAUUAGAAGAUCACUUUAGUGGUUUAAGACAGUAAACCAUCUUACAUUCUCCCACUUGAUCAAAUAAUCGAUCGAAGCUCAUUGUCAUCACUUAAUGGCCAUGUGAAAAUCUACUUCUAUCUUUAUUCCUUUAUCAAGCCACUGUCAGAAUUGAUAGUUCACAAGGGACUGUCGAAGCUCCUUAGAUAUAUAACAUCUAAGACUUUUACAACCACACAUAUGAACUAACAACAACACAUAAGGCUUCCAACUGGAUUAAGAUUGAAACAGUUAUGAUUAUACUGUCAAGUGUAAUCAAUCAUAACUGGUUUAGCUCACUCUUAAUGACUGCCAAGGUCUUAAAAACAAAAUCAAUCAAUGACCCAUUCAUAGAUUCAAACUGUGAACAAAUUGCUAGCACAGUCACAGUUUGGCCUUAAUCUAUUUGUCAUUUAAUGAACCAGUAUAUGCUAGUAAUAUAAGACUUCAAAACAUUAACAUAACUGAAUCAAAACUGUCUAGAUAAACUAGUUAACAAAACAAAAUAAAACUGUAAUCACUUUAACUCCCACUAACUCCCACUGACUUUAAGCAUCAAAACUUAUCAGCAACCCCAUACUUACAACGUGCCUAUGAAAAACAUGAUUAGGCAAGCCUUUGUUUAAGGGAUCUGCUAUCAUCAGUUCUGUACCUAUAUGACUUAAGGCAGUCUCACCAUCUCGAAUUUUCUCCUUUGCUGAUAAGAACUUUAAAUGUAGAUGCUUCAUACCAGAUGACCUUUUAUUCCCAUUUGCAAAGUAUACAGCUGCACUGUUAUCAUUCCAUAGUUGAAUAGGCCUCUGUAUUGACUCCACUAUAUUUAGCAUUGACAUAAAAUUCUUGAGCCAUAUUGCCAUGGAAGUGGCUUCAUAAACUGCCAAGAACUCAGCUUGCAUUGUAGAGGUUGACACAUAUUGUUGUUUUACACUCUUUCAUGCGACUGCACCUCCUGCAAAAGGAAAAACAACCCCUGAUGUGCAUUUUUGAGUAUCCAAGCAGCCUGCAAAGUCAGCAUCUGCGUAGCCUUCUAGCUUUAAUUCUUCAACUCUUCUAUAAACCAGUUUAUACUCCUUAGUCCUCUGUAGGUACCUUAACACCUUUUUCCCAGCAACCCAAUGUGCCUGGCCUGGAUUGGAUUGAAAUCUGCCAAGAACACUGAUAUAGAAUGCAAGGUCAGGUCGAGUACAAACCUGAGCAUACCUGAGGCUUCCUACCAGUAAGGCAUAAGGCUUGUCCUGCAUCUCUAUCCUUUCUUGUUCAGUCUUGGGAGACUGUUCACUACUAAGCUUAUCACCCUUUGAGAAUGGAACAUCACAGCCUGUGCAAUUUUCCAUAUUAAACCUCUUAAGUAUCUUCUCAAUAUAAGCCUUCUGAGAUAAACCUAUCAACUUUCUGUGUCUAUCUCUGCGAAUUUCGAUUCCUAGUACAUAGUUGGCUUCUCCUAGAUCACUCAUAUCAAAAUAAGUAGACAACAUUCUUUGGGUGUCAUGUAACAAGGACAAAUUACCGCUUGCUAAGAGGAUGUCGUCUACAUAUAAGAGUAGAAUAAUAAAAUCCUUUCCAUUGAACCUCAUGUAAAUGCAUUCAUCCACUGGAUUGUCAAUGAAACCUUGAGAUUUUAUUACCUCAUCAAAUUUAAGAUACCACUGUCUUGAAGCCUGUUUUAAACCAUAAAUUGAUUUCUGCAGUUUGCAUACUAAAUUCUCUCCCCCUUUUAAGACGAAACCAUCUGGCUGUUUCAUGUAAAUCUCUUCAAGUAGAUUUCCAUUUAGAAAGGCUGUCUUGACAUCCAUUUGAUGCAAGUGUAGAUCAAAAUGUGCAACCAAAGCCAUGAUAACUCUGAAUAAGUCUUUUGUUGACACAGGAGAAAAAGUUUCAUUAUAAUCCACUCCUUUUUGUUGCGUGAACCCUUUUGCCACUAAUCUGGCUUUGUAUCUGUCUAUUUUCCCUUGUGCAUUCCUUUUAGUUUUGUAGACCCACUUGCAGCCAAUAGGUUUAGAACCUGAUGGUAAUUCAUCUAAACUCCAUACACCAUUCUUGCUCAUCGAUUCAAGUUCAGACUCCAUGGCUGCAAACCAAUGUUGAUUUUUCUCACUUUCCAUGGCUUGUUUAUAAGUGGCAGGAUCUUCUAUGGUGUUGAUGUCAAACUCAGAUUCUUGCAAUAUAGACAAAAUAGUCAUUUGGUAGAGCUGGUCUUCUAGUUCUUUGGGAUCUCCUUAAUUCCAUGGUCUGAGGUUGUUCUAGCAGAUUUAACUGCAUUUCAACUUCUGCAUUUUGAUGUAUUUCAACUUCUGCAUUUUGAUGUAUUUCAACUUCUGCAUUUUGAUGAUCGUUUAAGUCUUCAUGUGCAGGUGAGAUUUCUUUAUUCAAGUUGUCGAAACUCAAGAUAGUCACUCCCUUUUCUUUAUUUCCAGCUUCUGCAUUUACUUUGCUUUCUAUUAUUUCUUCAAACUCAAAAUCUGCUGUAUCUAUUUCUUCCUUCUCUUCUUCAAUGAAAACAGCCAUUUGUGUCUCUACAAAUCUGGUGGUGUGAUUUGGGCAGUAAAAUCUGUAGCCUUUUGUCCUGUCUGGAUAGCCCACAACAUAACAACUAAUUGUCUUUGAGUCAAGCUUCUUUUGCAUUGGAUUAUAGAUUUUUGCUUCUGCUCUACAUCCCCAAGUUCUCAAGUGAUUGAAACUUGGUUUUCUAUUGCACCAGAUUUCAUAGGGGGUUCUGUCAACACUUUUAGUAGGUGUUCUAUUAAGCAAGUAAUUUGCUGUCUUCAAGGCUUCUCCCCAUAAGAAAUUUGGUAGUGUUGUGCAACACAUCAUGCUUCUCACCAUCUCUAUCAAAGUUCUAUUUCGUCUCUCUGAAACACCAUUUUGCUGUGGAGUUCCAGGAUUCGUAUACUGAGCCACAAUACCUUCUUGUUGCAAGAAAAUGGCAAAAGGUCCUGGAUUUCUUCCUUUCUCAGUGAAUUUUCCAUAGAACUCUCCACCUCUAUCAGACCUCACUACUUUGAUUUUCGAAUCUAGUUGGUUCUCAACCUCUGCUUUGUAAAUUUUAAACAUGUCCAAUGCUUUCGAUUUUUCUGCUAUUAAAUACACAUAACCAUAUCUGGAAAAGUCAUCAGUAAAGGUUAUAAAAUAUCUGUAGCCAUCAUGAGUGUUGACUGGAAAAGGGCCACAAAUAUCAGUGUGUAUCAACUCAAGUAAUUUUUCACUCCUUACAGCUCCUUUCUUUCUGAGGUUUGUCAUCUUUCCUUUUGUACAUUCAAUACAUGUUUUAUCCCUUUCAUGGUGGUCAAGUGAUGGCAACAUAGAUUGCUUGCUUAAGAGAUUCAUCCUUUCUUUUGAGAUAUGUCCUAGUCUCUUAUGCCAAAGAGUAUAUGAUUCUGAAUUGCUUAACUGUAUUGUGCUUAUGACAUUUAACAUUUCAGUGCCUUGUUUUGGUAGUUUGCAAUUCAAACGAAACAUUCCAUCAACAAUCAUGCCAUUACCAACAACUCUUUUAUUUCUUGAAAUGGAGAAACCAAAUUCAUCAAACUCAAACUGUAAGUUUGAUUUUACAAGCCUACUAAUUGAUAAAAGGUUCCUUGUCAUAGUAGGAACAUAAACAACAUCAACUAAUUCCAAACAAAAACCAGAUUGCAACUCUAGAUUAACUAAACCAAUAAAAUCUACUUUAACUCUUUCUCCAUUUCCCACGAACACCUUCAAGUCAUCCUUAUUUGGCACUCUCUUUGUUUUGAACCCCUUUAGCCUUUUGCUUGUCCAACCAACGCUUGUACCUUCUACAAUCCCUCUUCAUGUGACCAAACUUUUUGCAGCAAAAACAUUUCAGACCUACUGGACCUGUCCCUUUGGUAAUUUCAUCCUUCUUCUGCUUCUUGUCUGCAUAUUUGGAUUUAUAUCCUUCCUUUGGCUUGCCUUUAAAAUCCUGCACCAGAUUCACAUGUUCCUUUGCAUUAUCAUUUCUAAUGCUUUGCUCUUCCUGCACACAUAUUCCUAUUAGAUCAGCCACUGUCCAUAUUUCUUUUUGAGCAAUAUAAGUAGUUUUCAAAUGCCUAUAAAUGCUAGGUAGGGAGUUAAAAGCAAAGUGCACCAUCAUGGCUUCAUCUACUAUAACUUUCAGAGCUUUCAGUUUGUUUCCAAUUUCGACCAUGUUCAAAAUGUGAGUCCUUAUGCAUCCUUCUCCAUUAUACUUAAAAUCUGUGAGUUUGCUCAUUAGUGUACCUAUCUCAGCCUUUUUGGAGCUUUGGAAAUUCUCUGCUAUUGCCUCAAUAAAUGCCUUUGCAUUUUCAGAUUCUGUGAUGCUGCCCUUUACCUCCUCUGAAAUUGAUCUCCUUAUGAUUAAGAUUGCCAUUUUGUUAGCCUUAGUCCAUUUUGCAAACUUGGUCCUAGUUUCGACAGAUGCAUCAGUUGCUGGUGUGGCUGGUGCUUCCUCAGUUAGAACCAUUUCAUAGUCCAAUAAGCCAAGAGCUAUUUCAAGAUCUUCUCUCCAUUUCUUAUAGUUGGAGCCAGUGAGGGUCUGGAUUGAAUUGUGAUUGACUGUACAGGUUUUUUAAAACAUUAAUACCUUAAAUAUUUUCCCCAAAAGACUUUAACUUAAACAUACUUAACUCACAUCUUUGGAUAGAAAGUUUAAGUACGUCCAUUGACACUGAAAUACAAACAGUCAUAUAAUUCUUUGAACAAAAGUUGUCCACAUCUUUGGAUAGAGGAGAACUUCUGCUAUUUUGUAACUGUGCAUAUUCCAUGUCGAUCCAUCAUAGUCAAAGCUAUAUCAAACUGCUCACAUCUUUGGACGGAGAGCCUUUCAAUGUGUUCUGAACUAUGAUGCCAAUUUGGAUCACUUACUUUGAAUGUAGUUAUCACGGAAUGAUUGAGUCGCUUUGGCUUGCUCAAUUAUCCCAUGGCAACUGCAAACUUGAUCAAAAACUGUCAAGAACACGAUAAAGUCAAUUCUUUAUACUGUUAUCAUGUUCUUGUCUAUAUAACUUGCAACCUUCAGUUUAUAGUUUCAUAGAUUUCCUGUUUCAGAUUGGUUAGGUAAAACAUGAUAUAACUAAAGCUCUGAUACCAUAUGUAAGUCUAAAUAGAUAUAACAUGAAAUACACUAACCUGUUUCAGACAUGAUGAACAAGAUGAAACUGAACUGAACUUGAGAAAACCAGAGACUUUCUCCUAGAAGCCGAGAACUCUUUCAGCAGUAAUUCUAAUGGGGUGAAUAUCUGUAUGCUUGUUUUUGUGUGUAUCUCGGCUCUAGAAGGAGCCUCCUAUUUAUAUGCAUAUCUCUAUGAGUUUAGCCCAUCAAUGAACUCUUAGAGAUAACCUUAAUGCUUAUAGGAUAAGGUAAUCUUAAUCCUUAUCAAAGUAGGAAUCCUUAAGCCUGUUAAUAUAUAUCUAGAACACUUAUAUUAGGCUGCCAUAUCAGAUAGGAAUAGACUUUCUGAUAAACCAUGAGUUCUUAGGAAUCCUUAUUCGAUUAGAAGAUCACUUUAGUGGUUUAAGACAGUAAACCAUCUUACAACCCAAACACACCUCUACAGCAUUGCUGCCAUAGUGCAGGGCCAACCCUACUGCCCACUCCAGUGUUGCUUCGAUCCCGAUGUUUCCUCUUUUGCAGUCCUAUUUUUCUCCUCUCUCUCACCUACAGUUAUCAUGAGUGACGAAUCUGUGGUUAGCGGUGCAUCCCGAAAUACGUGUACACCAUCUCCAUUGACUUUACCAGUCAAUCUUCCAUCUUAACCUGAUGCCAUACCUUUUGAUGUCAAGCUUAAUGGCAUCACCUACUCCCUGUGGUCUCAGCUUGUGGAGGCGUUUGUUGCUGGCAGUGGAAAAUAUUGUUAUCUAACAGGGAAUACUAAACAACCCGUUUUUGGAGACCCCAGUUAUGACAAAUGGGUGAUGGAUAAUGCUAUUGUUAAAGGAUGGUUGAUUUCUUCCUUGGAACCUGAUGUGAUGAAUUUAUUUAUCCGUCUGCCUACUGCUAAGGGUAUCUGGGAUGCAGUCUCGAAGACUUAUUUUGAGGGUGUCGAUAGAUCUCUUGUGUAUGACUUGUCUCGUCUCGAAAGGCUAUGCAGAUGAGACAAGCCGAACAAUCACUUGCUGCCUAUUAUGCUAAUUUGAGUGCUCUCUAGCAAGAGUUGGAUUAUAGGAAGCCUAUUCCUUUUACCCAAGCAGAUGUGAUUCUUGCCAGAGAACAGGAGAUUACAGAGGAGUGUGUCUACAUGUUUUUGGCUAGGCUUGAUGAUAUUUAUAAUAGCAUUCGUAGUGAAAUCCUUCGGACCAAGCCAUUACUCACUCUAGAAUCCACUUUUGCUACUAUUUGCCUUGAGGAGUAAUGCAGACACAAUAUGCUUAGUCCGGGCUCUAAUGUCAGCAUGGCUAUGGCAGCUGUUGCUAUUGGGUCGUCUUCUUUAACCUAGAAUAGGACACCCAUAAAGCCAAGCUUUGUCACUCACCCUCCUACCGACGAUGGUUGCGCUUACUGUCACAACUCUAUAUAUGUUGUGGAAUAAUGUUUUAAGAAGAAUGACUAUCCUGACUAGUGGGAAGCUUUCCAAGAUAAGAAAACAACUGAUGCUCGUGAGGCUCGCCAUGGUGACUAGGUAUGUCGCCCUACCACCUCUUGCUGCUGAUAUGAGUGGCGCAUUACCCAUGACGUCCUCAACCCUCAUCUCUCCUCAGUCUACUACUUCUUCUUCUUUUUCUAUUAUUUUAGUUGUUGAUCCUGUUCCUACUUAGAACCCAGGUAAUACGGGUUUUGCAUUACUUGCUACUAAUUCUCAGCCUGACCUUGAACAGAUUAUUGAUUCGGGUGCCACAGAUCACAUGACAUAUGACCCCUUUCUUUUAUGGAGUCAUAUUCCUCCCACCGUUCGAGUGUGGCUAAUGUCAAUGGUGUUGCCUACCCUGUUUCUAGCGUUGGCACUGUUGAAUUGACUCAUUCUGUAUCUUUGGAGCAUACUUUAUUAAUUUAUGCACUAUCCAAUGAUUUGUACGACUUUGCAAAACUCAAGCGAAGGUGUCAUAUAGCAGUGUAGCUCGGAAGUCUGAAUGUCGUAUCCACAGAGAGCGGUGUGAAGAAAAUAACAGAGCUGAGACAUAACAAUUAAGAUAGAGGUGUAGAUUUAAGCAAUAUUUGAUUUAAAGAAAAUUUAAUUAAUUAAAAUAUUAAGGCAUUGGGGUUUCACUUUUAACAUAUGCAUGCAACUCUUAUUAAUUUGAUCCACAAAAUAUUUUCCAUUGUAGUUGAAAUAUUUAAAGCUCUAUUUAAUUUCCUUUAGAAGUAUUCUAAGCAUAACUUGUAUCAUUGGCAACAAACUAUCAAAAAAUAAUCUUCAUCGAAAAUUCUAUUAAUCUUUAGUAAUUCUCUUCUCUUUUAAAAUUAUGAAAGGUUUCACUACACAAUGGGAAAAACAUGAUUGAACCCAUGAAAUAAAUUAUCAACCACUCAUCGAUUAAUUAAAAAGAAAACUACAAAUUCCAUUUGAACAAAAACUACAAAUUCACAUUAAAGCUUAAGUUACCAAACUAAUAAAAAUUACACUCACAUUAAAAGCUUUCUCCCUAGCCUUAGCUAGGUAGUUAGUUCCCCAUAAAAUAAAACUAAAACAGAAAUUUAGAACUAGAAUAAUUGAAGGAAGGAGAGAGAGCUCAAGAGAAGAUUGUGAAGCUUGGGGUCCUUGAAGGCUUGUAGAGCUUUCUAUUUAUAGCCUUAAAUCUCAACAACAACAAUCACUAGGGAAAUAUUAAAAUCUGAAAUUCUAAUCCCUUUCAAUGCAAAACCGUAGCCCAUCUCUUCAUCAUUUCUUCUUUUCUUCAAUUUAUGCCCCACUUCCAGCUUUUGUUAUUCAAUUUUCAUUGCUUUUUACAUUGCUUUCUUGCUCCCAUCUUGCCACUAACCCAAUUACCAUUGAGUGCUUUCAGUGUUUAUUUUGCUGCUGUUCCCCAUCCAUUAACUUUUGCUAUUCCCAUAAUUUUAAUCGUCCAAAUGAAGUCAGAUCUUCCCAAGCCACCAUCCAUUGUUCAACUUGACAAUAAAAAUAUUGAAAUUAUCUCCUUGAACGUAAUGGAUAUUGGAUUUUCAAUUGUUUUUAUUACAAAUAGAUAUGAAUAUCAAACUUCAACUUAAAUAGUCUAAAUAAACUAACCGAAAACACUAACAAAUAUAACUUUAGGGAUAAAAAUUAUAUUACUUUGGUGCUUAUCAUCCAAUAAUCUACUUUUUGUCCCUCAAGUGACUAAGCAGUUAAAUUGUCUUGUAUUAAUAUAUUUAUUUUUUUGUCUUCUUCAGGAUAUCAGCAGUCAGAAGAUUAUUGGUCGUGGUACUAAGAGGAUGGCUUUACUAUGUGGAUGAUGUUUGCACCGGGAAGGUUUUAUAUGUCAAAGGUUGUGUUUAAGAUAUGGAGAAUCAGAUUUGGUUCUGGCAUCACCGCCUAUGGUAUUCUUCUUUUGGAUAUUUGAAACAUUUGUUUCCGUCACUAUUUUUUGGUCAUCAGACUUCUAAUUUUACGUGUGAUACUUGUAUUUUAGCUAAAAGUCAUCGUGCUACUUAUCCUUUGAGUUCUAAUAUAACUUCUGUUCCAUAUAUGUUGGUGCAUAGUGAUGUUUGGGGCCAUGUGCCUGUGUCUACUCAUUCUUGAUAUUAGUGGUUUGUCAUUUUUGUGGGUGAUUGCACUCAGAUGACCUGGCUGUAUCUAAUGAAACACAAAAGUGAUGUUUAUGAUUGUUGUCAUAUGUUUCAUAAAAUGAUUCAGACUUAAUUUUUUACUACUUUGAAAGUUGUUCGUCCUGAUAAUGGCGGGGAAUAUGUCAAUCAGUUGUUAGAGGCUCAUUUUCAGGAUCAUAGUAUUGUGCAUGAGAAAACGUGUCUGACACUGGUGUUAAGAAAUGGAAGAAUCGACAUAUUCUAGAAAUCACCCGUGCUAGCCUCAUUGGUGCCCGUAUGCGGCCCCUCUAUUGGGAAAAUGUUAUUAUGUCUACAGUUUAUCUUUUUAAUAGGGUUCCUACUAGUGCGUCGCAGUUUAAAAUACCUUUGGAAAUGCUUUAUGGACAUUUUACAAAUUCCUUCUACUUUGACUCUGGCACCCCGCGUGUUUGGAUGCACUAUGUUUGUUGAUCUUCCUAAGACCUAGCAUAUUAAGUUGGAUCAUUGUGCUUUGAAGUGUGUAUUUCUUGGCUAUUCUCCUCACCAAAAAGGCUAUCGGUGUUAUCAUCCACAGGACCUAUGUCUCCAUGGAUGUUUCUUUUUCUAAACAAGAGAUGUACUUUGCUACUCAUGUCUCUAAUUUCUCUCUUCAGGGGGAAAGUCUCAGUGUCGAAGAGUUGAAUUGGAUGGUUUUAUUUUCUGAUUCAGUAGACCUAGCAUCACACUCAAGGGGAGUCUUUACAAGUGGUACUCCGACUGAAUUGAAUCAUCCACCACUGGAAGAGCUUGAGACACUGCUUGAGAUGCUGCACUCUGAGCCAACAAGUGGUGAUAUAGCCGAUUCUUCCCCCUUCUACUCCAACUGUACAUGACCAAGAAAUCUCUUCUGCUGAUACGUCUUAGGUAAGUCUAGAAAAACAUAUUAUUAGUACUCAUGUUAAUAUGCCUAUUGUGCCAAGUGACAGUGAUAGGUUUUAGCUACCACCAAGGAGUACCCGUGGAAAGCCUCCAGACAAAUAUUCACCUAAUACAUUUAAGACGGUGAAAUGCCCUAUUGCGAACUAUAUGUCAGCUCACAGGUUGUCAGUUGCUAGUCAAGCCUUUGUGAGUCAGAUGUCACCAGUAAAUAUUCCCACAAAGGUACACGAGGCUCUGUACUAUUCUAAGCGGGCUGAUGCAAUGAUUGAAGAAAUGAAAACGCUUAAGAAAAAUCAGACAUGGGACAAUUAACAUGUACAAAGUUAGACUAGUUGCAAGGGGAUAUACCAGAAUUAUGGUAUUGAUUAUCAAGAGGCUUUUGCACAUGUCGCAAAAAUCAAUACUAUACGCCUCUUAAUGUCUUUGACUGCAAACUUAGAUUGGCUUAUGCAGCAAUAUGAUGUGAAGAACGCUUUUUUACAUGGUGAUUUAUGUGAAGAAGUGUAUAUGAGUAUGCCUUCUGGUUAUAGUGUUACAAGGCAAACAUCCAUUAUGUGCAAAUUAAAAAAGGCCUUAUAUGAAUUAAAGCAGUCUCCUAGAGCGUGGUUCGGGAGGUUUCGUCAGGCCAUGAAGACAUAUGGUUAUGUACAAAGUAAUGCAUAUCAUACCCAUUUCUUAAGCGACAAAGUGGCAAAGUCGCCGCACUCAUUAUAUAUGUGGAUGACAUGAUUGUGACAGGAGAUGACAUUGAGGAGAUAGAGAAGCUGAAGACUUAUUUAGCUUCUGGGUUUGAUAUGAAGGAUCUUGGAGGAUUAAAAUAUUUUUUGGGAAAAGAAGUUACUCAGUCAAAGCAAUGUAUAUUUCUAUACCAAAGAAAAUAUAUUUUGGAUUUAUUGGAAGAAGCUGGUAUAUUGGGUUGUCAACCUAUUGAUACGCCCAUUGAGCAGAAUUAUUGUAUGGAGGAGCUCCUAGAUCAAGUACCAAACAAUAAAGAGAUAUAUCAAAGCUUAGUUGUUAGAUUAAUUUAUUUGUCACACGCUAGACCUGAUAUUGCAUAUGCAGUAAGUGUUGUGAGUCUGUUUAUGCAUAAUCCAAGUGAAGUCCGUAUGAGUGCAGUGAUGAGAAUUUUGUGUUAUCUGAAAUCUGCUCCUGGGAAUGGUCUUAUGUUUUCUAAGACACUUGGAGAUUAUAGAGUGUUUAGGCCUAAAAUAUACGCGCUAGCCCAAAAUAAGUAUUGGGUUCACUUUCCAAAAUUGUAUUGGGCUUUGGUUUACCAAAAGAUAAAAGUUGUUUGAAAUAGUUUUUUCCCAAAAGAUCAUAGUUUCUUAGCGGCUAAGGUUUUGUCAGGGUAAACCCUCACCUUGGGUGGCUAAAAUCCAAAGAGAACUGAUGACAUUAAUUAAAAGCUGGAAAGUGAGGUCAGGUUUGCUUUAGUUAAAAGUCACGGCUAUUUAUUGCAAAAUCGUUGAUUUUUCUAUCCACCAUGAUACUUGGAUAUUUAUGGUACCAACGUUGGAAGAAUUUGGGCAUUAUUGCUCACUUCAACUAGGUUGUUGCAAAAGGAACGAACAUGAGGCAUUCAGGAACAUUAAUGAGCAGAUGCCAAAAUUGAUCAAUGCAUUGAACUGGCAGAACUUUUGCCACUUGUGCAUUAAAUGGAGGAUAGUCCAAACUAAAAAUAUCUAGAUUUCUUCAGCAUCACAUUUUCUCUUUUAAAUACAAGAGUGUCUGGACUGGAGAAAACACACCCAACCAACCAACCAAUCAAGCAAAAACUAAACAAUUAAUCCAGAUUGACCAAAAGAAACCGAAGAUCAUUCGAUCUUGCAACUACCAAAAGCAAGCAAGUAAUCUUCCUUUAGAAGCAAUCCAACUCAAGAAGGAAUUCAGAAAAUCAUGAAGAAAACAAGAUUUCCCUCGCAAUCCAGAGAAGGUAAAUCAGACAGAACUCAAAAGAGAUUGAUUUCUCUUACAAAUUUGGUUCAGCAAACUAGAUAAGAACAAGAAGAAAUCAAGUAUUUCAUUAUAUGAAAACCUCAAUAAAUUUUUCAAAGACAUCUUAAUGUUUUGAAGUCGUCUAGAUAGCUUCUAGAUCACUCAGAAUUGACUAGAAUUGGGUUCCUAGUCUGCCCAAGGCUUAACUCAUUUAGAGCUCUGUGGACUUCAAACUUCGUAUCGAUUUGCAGCUAAUCCCUAGUAGUUGAAGGUGCUAACGUGCAAUUCCAGUACAUAAACAUUCAAUCCAGUCCACCCAGAUCAUAAAUCAUUGUUGCAACUAUGUUUUCAAGCAGAGGUCAAAAUUCAACAUCUCUAAGAAUUUAUUAGAUUUAGAGAUUCAUCUGAUUCUUUGUACUUCAGGCAAUUUUGCUUGGAUUUGUUUGUUAUGUUAUCGAUAAAUUCGUGUAUUUUGCUUUACUUAUCAUUUUUGUCUAGAUAAAUUGUGAAGUCCUCACUAGUCUAAGGCAUAGGAAAGAACUCUCUCCGGAGGUUUUCCCACCCAAAAUCACAAUUGUUUGUUCAAAGUCCAAUUCCUUGGGGCGCAAGUAUAUAAAGUCACUCAAAUCUGUUAGGGUAUUACAUGCUAACAGUGGCACGCUUGCAUAAAGAAAGUUAAUCCAUAAACCAUUAAAUGGUUAAAAGAUUAUUGGGGAAUUUUACUUAGUCUUCAACAGACUCCAAUAUAAAAAAAAUGUAAAUACAAGGUAUACAGAUUCUUAUUGGGGUGGCAAUUGUUUCAAACGAAUAUCCACUUGUGGAUAUUUUACCUUUGUAGGAGGAAAUUUGGUUACAUGGCGUAGUAAGAAACAAAAGGUGGUUGCUCUGUCUAGUGCAGAAGCAAAGUAUAAAACUAUGGUUAAAUGCAUAUGUGAAUUAUUGUGGUUGAAAAGACUUAUGGAAUAACUGUGUUUCGGAUCUAAAGGGGCUAUGCAGCUUUAUUGUGAUAAUCAGUCAACGAUCAAAAUUGCAGAGAAUCCAGUGCAACAUGAUCGUACUAAGCAUGUAAAGAUCGAUAGUAAUUUUGUGUAUGAGAAAUUGGAAAAUAAUAUUAUGCAGAUUCCGCAUAUGAAGACUACAAAUCAACUGGCUGAUAUUCUGACAAACACCGUAUCUAGUGAAGCAUUCCAUGAUUCACUUGUCAAGUUGGGCAUUAAAGAUGUAUAUGCGCCACCUCGAGGGGAGUGUUGACAUGAAUCAUGUAAUUGAUUUAAAUUAGGAAUUGUAAUCCCGUAUUAGAUGAGAUUGUAAUUACUUUUUUUGUUGUUGUAUACUUAUACAUAUAUAAAUACCCUUCUAGAGAGAAGAAUAAAUCACUCUGAAUUAUUCUACCCUAAUACGUAUAUUUUCAAUGUCAUUUUGGCCAAGGAUGGAAUACCGUUGCCUAACUCCACCACAAAUCAUACCCAUUAUGAGCUUCAUGUCUAUGAGAAGCUUUGGGAGGUCUUUGGAAAUUAGUCUCUUUUCGUCAACUCGACAAUUAAACAAAAUUAAUUAUGUAUUUAAUAUAUUUAAAUUCCUCCCUAGUUAUAUAAAGACCCUUAUAUUGAGGGAUAUACUGAUUCUUUUAAAUAAUAUUAAUGGUGUUGACGUCUAAAAUUGAUUCAACAUAAGAUGACCUUUUCGAGAUUGAGGUCGGGCACUUCUUCCGAACUAGGUCAGCUUGACCAACAAAGUCGUCCUCCAGAACCUGCAAAGAAAAAGAGCUUCAGUGGGUGACACCAGUGUGUUGGACAUUUCAGUGAGUCUAAGUAGUAGUAAGUGUCUUUCUUUCAAAUCUCUGUGGAACAACCUCGUUCUUGCAUUCCUAUACUAUAAUUGGUCCGUGCUCUAGCGAGAAACAGAUAGAGUAAAAUCAAUCUAACAAGAAACUGGUGCAUUUAAUCUAUUUUGUGUUCGUCAUUUAGUUCAUUGAGCUCUAGAUAUCAUUGGAGGCAUUUGAUACAAAAUGAUGCAGAAAAUGUGCAAAACUGAUCACUAGGCUAGCAGCCUUGUUUUGUACAUACCAUCUUCAUGAGAUGUUAGAUCGAGGCUCACAACAUAUGGUUGGAAAGCUGAAAUUUUGGGCUUCAAGUGAUAGUGCUCAAAAGUCGCAUUUGGAGAUUUAAUGCCCAAGUUGAAAGCCCACGAAAUUUCUUGGUCAUGUUGGGAUAAGCAUGAGCUCUUGUUGCUGGGAACAAAGUUAGGUCUGCUAAUUUAUUGUUUACAGCUCAAGUGGAGCAUUAAUGAGCAUUCAUAAUGAAGAAGAUAGCAAGAGAUCACAUAUAAUACAAUCCAUGCAUGUUAAGGGCUGAUUGGGAUGAGAGGAAUAUGAGCUUAAAGACAAACCCAAUUUGGGCUACACUCCCUUGUCAGCCCAGUUUCGCAGGUCACAUUGCAUGCCUUAUUUCAGCAACCUAGACAGCUCGGAUGAGAAGACAUUCUUGAUAGAAGUUGUUCCAAUGAGUGUCUAUUAUAGCAUAUUCAAAUUUCAUCCCCAUCAGAUACAUCUAGAGUCGUCAUCACGUCAAACACUCAACCAAGUUCACAGAAAGUCCUAGUUGGCUGCUAUCACAUUUAAUGUUCCCACAUCCCUGUAGCCAUGUGCUACACAUAAAAGCAGCCACAUAUGGGAGACAAAUUAGCUUGGGAACUUCGAAAGGGGAACAAAAGUCAAGCUUACCAUGAGAAUACCAGGAAGAAUAGUCCAUCAAAAGCAUUUAUUGGGCAGCUGGAGUAGUUGGCACUUAAUAAGGCAGUUGGGCAGCUGUUGAGAGAGAUGUUCUACAACAACCAAAGGGAGAACGAAUUUGGCACUUUAUAAAUAGAGAGCUAUACACAUUCAUUCAUUUAUCUCCUAUAGAGUGAAAUUCGUUUUCCUCUUGGUUGGUGUAAAACAGCCAUCUCAGCAACUGCCCAACUGCCUCAUUAAUUGCCAACGGCUCCAACUGCCCCAUAAAUGCUUUGGUAGACUCGUCUUCUUGUUCUCCAAAUGGUAAGCAUGACUUUUGUUCUCCUUUCUAAGUUCCCAAGCUUAUUUGUCUCCCAUAUAUGGCUGCUCUUAUGUGCAGCACAUGGCUACAGGGAUGUGGCCACAUUAAAUGUGAUAGCAGCCAACCAAGACUUUCUGUGAACUUGGUUGAAUAUUUGACGUGCUAAGGACUCCAGAUAUCUCCAAUAGGGUGGAAAUUUGGAUAUGCUAUAAUAGAUACCCAUUGGAACAACUUCUAUUAAGAAUAUCUUCUCAUCCGAGCUGUCUAGGUUGCUGAAAGAAGGUUGUAAUGUGACCUACGAAAAUGGGCUAACAAGAGAGUGUAGCCCAAAUUGGGUUUGUCUUUAAGCUCAUAUGGAUUGCAUUGAAUGUGAUCUCUUACUGUCCUCUUCAUUAUGUCUACUCAUUAAUGCUCCACUUGAGUUGUAAAUAAUAAAUUAGUAGACCUAACUUUGUCUCCAGCAUGACCAAGCAACUUCGUGGGCUUUGGGCAUAAAAUCUCCAAAUGAGCCUUUCGAGCACUAUAAAUUGAAGCCCAUAAUUUUAGCUUUCCAACCAUAUGUCGUGAGCCUCAAUCUAGCAUCUCAUGAAGAUGGUACGUCCAAAACAAGGUUUCUGGUCCAGUGAUCAGUUUUGCACGUUUUUCUACAUCAUUUUGUAUCAAAUGCCUCCAAUGGUAACUAGAACUCAAUGAACCGAAUGACAAACACAAAAUAGAUUAAAAGCACAAGUUUCUUGUUAGAUUUAUUUUACUCUAUUUUUUUUUUCUCAAGUGCACGAACCAAUUAUAGUAUAGGAAUGCAAGAACAAGGUCGUUCCACAGAGAUUUGAAUGAAAGACACUUACUACUACUGAAUGAAUUACAGACACUUACUACUACUUAAACUCACAAUGAGGUUGAGUUUUGUUUGUUUGGAGUGAAAACUACUAAAAAGAAUGCAAAAUAAUAAAUUGACUAGCAAGUGAAUGUUUAGAAGAGUUUAGAGACAAUGAUAACAAGCACUAGGGGUUCAACUUCACCAUAACAAUCCAAUUCCAUGUUACAAGUUAAAAAACAUCAAAGUUGAUCAAUUCAGUUUCUGGAGUUCGUUCUUUCUUAAAUAUGAUUAUCGAUAUGGUGUUUGGUUUUAAUCAAGUAUUCAUAAUACAUAAUUUAGCUAUGGUGUUUAGCCUAAACUAUGAAUAUGAAUCCAUUAAGCUUAGAGAAGAACAAUAAGGAACCAAGUAAACAUUUAAACAUGGUGUUUGUCCUAAAUAUGGUGUCUAUGAAAACUUGAACUAUAUAACCAACAUGCAAGUGUCAAUAAUGGCCAACUAUUUAAACAUGCAUAAAGAUUCAACUAAGAACAAAUGAGUGAGACCAAAAACUAGAACUAAUCAACAAAAAGUAAAAUUAACUUGAAAACAUGAAACUCUCUUCUCAUGCUACAUUGAAACUCUAGCUAUGGUAAUUAGUAACACCCCAUUAAUGGAAGCAACAACAUUUGAAUCAUAAUAAACAUGAACGGUAUAAGAAAAACCCUUGAAAACGAAUUAUGAUGUUGAAGAGCUCCUCACAGCUUCUAACAUGUGUGCUUGCAGCCAGAGAUCAAGAGUAGUGUAGAUGGUAUUUCUGUGUUUCUGGUGGUUUCUCCUCUUCUCCUACUUGGUAUCAACGAAUUUCACUUUAUAAUAUGGCAUAUGAAUGUGUGGAGGGUGUGAAUGGAAGAUAAAUGAAUGAAUGUGUGUAGCUUUCUAUUUAUAGAGUGCCAAAUUCGUUCACCCCUUGGUUGGUGUGGAAUAG